This is a non-coding RNA of Microcebus murinus (gray mouse lemur), 665 nucleotides long. The record is from RefSeq and is a predicted model, not a curated record. NCBI's taxonomy places the organism in Eukaryota, Metazoa, Chordata, Mammalia, Primates, Cheirogaleidae.
GUUUUAUGUAUUUAACCUGCAAAACAACUCUAUGAUAUAAGGUGACCUUUGAAGAAGAUGGUUUUAAACUGUGCAGGUCCACUUGCAUCUAACUUUAUUGCAAGAAUACAGCAGAUGAUACAUCUAACACACCAAAUGUGUUAAUUGACUAUUUGUAUUAUUGGGAAGGCUUCCAUCAACAGUAGGCUAUGAGAGGUAAAGUUGCGUAGAGUUUCUGAUUUCGGUUCACCAUGUUGUUGAGCCAACUUCAAAAGAAAGGUGGAGAUAAUAUGUCUGUUUUUGCCAUUCUACUGUGGAAAUCCUGCUCCUAUUCCAUUUAAAGAUUCUUAAGAAUGAAACAUCUGCCCUCUCCACUCCUCCAAACUUUUGACCCUCAAAAACAUUCACUGCCAGGCUAUUUUGUAGAGAGUGCAGGACACCUAACAUCAAUACACAGUUGCUAUUUAAGACUGUGGUAGUGCCAAGGUCCAUGUGUAUACAUUUCACAGUGUCAUAGUAUUAGAAUGCUUGUUUCUGCCACCCAUGAGUGGAUGAAAACUUAUUAGGGUGUCUUCUAAAAUUUGGUCAACAAAUAUCAGCAAUACUGCACUGAAACAGAAUAUUUGUGAGAAAACAAAAAUUUACUUUUGUCAUUAACAGUCAUCAAAAGGUAGUUUUGAGUAGAA